This 1201-nucleotide small RNA is filed under the name uncultured bacterium. RNAcentral's name for it is "bacterial SSU rRNA". The stretch from base 1 to 486 matches the Rfam family "Bacterial small subunit ribosomal RNA", at positions 1045 to 1533 of the family's 1533-position model. The record is from RNAcentral.
AUGGCUGUCGUCAGCUCGUGUCGUGAGAUGUUGGGUUAAGUCCCGCAACGAGCGCAACCCUCGCCUUUAGUUGCCAUCAUUAAGUUGGGCACUCUAGAGGGACUGCCGGUGAUAAGCCGGAGGAAGGUGGGGAUGACGUCAAGUCCUCAUGGCCCUUAUGGGCUGGGCUACACACGUGCUACAAUGGCGCUGACAGAGGGCAGCUAGCUCGCGAGAGUAAGCUAAUCCCUAAAAGGCGCCUCAGUUCAGAUUGCACUCUGCAACUCGAGUGCAUGAAGUUGGAAUCGCUAGUAAUCGUGGAUCAGCAUGCCACGGUGAAUACGUUCCCGGGCCUUGUACACACCGCCCGUCACACCAUGGGAAUUGGCUUUACCCGAAGGUAGUGUGCUAACCGCAAGGAGGCAGCUAACCACGGUAAGGUCAGUAACUGGGGUGAAGUCGUAACAAGGUAGCCGUAGGGGAACCUGCGGCUGGAUCACCUCCUUUCUAAGGAAAUUUCUUAAUGAAAAUAAAUCUUCGUGAUUUAUGAUCUUUUGAAAUUCUUGGAACAUAAUGUCAGAUUUAUCUGACAAAACAUUGCUGGAUUGUCGCCAUCUUCGUUUCUCUUUCUAGGAUUAAGUUAUACCGUUAUUAAUCGGGAUAGCGGGCCUGUAGCUCAGCUUGGUUAGAGCGCACGCCUGAUAAGCGUGAGGUCGAUAGUUCAAGUCUAUCCAGGCCCACCAUAUCUUAAUCUUUUGAAUCAUAGAUUCUGAAAGAGUCUGUUCAUUAACAUUGUAAAGAGAAAUAUUUUGAUCAUAUCAAAUACAUGCUUAUUAUUUGUAUUAUGAGUGGUGCCUGCACGGGCACAGUUAGUUCUUUAACUUUCAAAAUAUAAGUAGAAUAGAUUAUAAAUUUUAUAAUCAAAAUGGUCUUUUUGUGAUGUUUGUUAAAUCCUUACAACCGAUUUAAUAAAUAUCUAAAAAGUGAAUAAUCGUUGUAAUAUGUAUUAAUUCAUUGCGUAUUAUGACAAAUCGUAUUUUCCAUUAGUGUUCCCUAAAUUGAGAACCAGGUGAACAUUGAUGAUGAGAUCGAUCAAGUAUCUUACAAGCAUAUAGAGGAUGCCUUGGCGCUAAAAGGCGAUGAAAGACGUGGUACGCUGCGAUAAGCUACGGGGAGCUGUGAACAAGCUUUGAUCCGUAGAUUUCUGAAUGGGGAAACCCGG